RNAcentral lists this ribosomal RNA (253 nucleotides) under uncultured bacterium. RNAcentral's name for it is "partial 16S ribosomal RNA". It matches the Rfam family "Bacterial small subunit ribosomal RNA", at positions 524 to 776 of the family's 1533-position model. The record is from RNAcentral.
UACGGAGGGUGCAAACGUUGCUCGGAAUCAUUGGGCGUAGAGCGCACGUAGGCGGCCCGCUAAGUCGGAUGUGAAAUCCCUCGGCUCAACCGAGGACGUGCAUUCGAUACUGGCAGGCUUGAAUAUGGAAGAGGGUCGCGGAAUUCCCGGUGUAGAGGUGAAAUUCGUAGAUAUCGGGAGGAACACCAGUGGCGAAGGCGGCGACCUGGGCCAAUAUUGACGCUGAGGUGCGAAAGCGUGGGGAGCAAACAGG